UAAGUAUAUGUUCCGAGAACAGGUACAA
RNAcentral lists this small RNA (28 nucleotides) under Bombyx mori (domestic silkworm). Its description in RNAcentral is "ovarian small RNA-19381". Lineage: Eukaryota; Metazoa; Arthropoda; Insecta; Lepidoptera; Bombycidae. The record is from RNAcentral.